Molecule: small nucleolar RNA, 91 nt
Organism: Juglans regia (Persian walnut)
Lineage: Eukaryota; Viridiplantae; Streptophyta; Magnoliopsida; Fagales; Juglandaceae
Product: small nucleolar RNA U61
Exons: 1
Source: RefSeq, a predicted model, not a curated record
AAGCUGUGAUGAAGAUCUAGCUGUUACCGGAGACGGUCUCUAACGAUUUCGUCGUUGAUGGCAACACAACCCCCUAAAAAGUUCUGAGCUU